CUCCAAGGAUGGUGCCCCAACUGGGCCUGCCCCUCUAGGGGCCGCUGCUGUCGCCCCUGCCGUUUUUGGUGCCCGAAACAUCGUCCCAGGAGGCUCUUUGCUAUCUCCUGCUGCCACUGCUGGAGUCUAUGGAGCACCUCUCAAAACUGCACAUGCCUCACUCGCUACACCACAUGCUAAGGUACACUAUUAACGCCCUCACAAGAUGACACUUUGUAAAUACGACCACCUAUAUACAUUGUGAAUGUGGCUCACAUGUACAUGUACAUAUUUAUGAAUUACUCUCUCAAUGUAUCACUGUAACAUUUGUAUAAAAAUAAAAUUCUCAGUUGUAAUUUAAA
Schistocerca gregaria is the source of this 341-nucleotide long non-coding RNA. RefSeq lists it as uncharacterized. Lineage: Eukaryota; Metazoa; Arthropoda; Insecta; Orthoptera; Acrididae. The transcript is spliced from 2 exons. The record is from RefSeq and is a predicted model, not a curated record.